Molecule: non-coding RNA, 28 nt
Filed under: Bombyx mori (domestic silkworm)
Lineage: Eukaryota; Metazoa; Arthropoda; Insecta; Lepidoptera; Bombycidae
Source: RNAcentral
UCAAGUCAUCUUCCCAUCUCCUGAUUUG